GGAUUGAACGCUGGCGGCAUGCCUUACACAUGCAAGUCGAACGGCAGCGCGGGAGCAAUCCUGGCGGCGAGUGGCGAACGGGUGAGUAAUAUAUCGGAACGUGCCUAGUAGUGGGGGAUAGCCCGGCGAAAGCCGGAUUAAUACCGCAUACGACCUGAGGGUGAAAGCGGGGGAUCGCAAGACCUCGCGCUACUGGAGCGGCCGAUAUCAGAUUAGCUAGUUGGUGGGGUAAAGGCCUACCAAGGCAACGAUCUGUAGUUGGUCUGAGAGGACGACCAGCCACACUGGGACUGAGACACGGCCCAGACUCCGUACGGGAGGCAGCAGGUGGGGAAUUUUGGACAAGUGGCGACAAGCCUGACUCCAGCAAUGCCGCGUGCGAAGGAA
RNAcentral lists this ribosomal RNA (387 nucleotides) under uncultured soil bacterium. RNAcentral's name for it is "bacterial SSU rRNA". It matches the Rfam family "Bacterial small subunit ribosomal RNA", at positions 27 to 412 of the family's 1533-position model. The record is from RNAcentral.